GACGAACGCUGGCGGCGCGCCUAACACAUGCAAGUCGAACGAGCGAGAGAGAGCUUGCUUUCUUGAGCGAGUGGCGAACGGGUGAGUAACGCGUGAGGAACCUGCCUCAAAGAGGGGGACAACAGUUGGAAACGACUGCUAAUACCGCAUAAGCCCACGACCCGGCAUCGGGUUGAGGGAAAAGGAGCAAUCCGCUUUGAGAUGGCCUCGCGUCCGAUUAGCUAGUUGGUGAGGUAACGGCCCACCAAGGCGACGAUCGGUAGCCGGACUGAGAGGUUGAACGGCCACAUUGGGACUGAGACACGGCCCAGACUCCUACGGGAAGCAGCAGUGGGGAAUAUUGCACAAUGGGGGAAACCCUGAUGCAGCGACGCCGCGUGGAGGAAGAAGGUCUUCGGAUUGUAAACUCCUGUUGUUGAGGAAGAUAAUGACGGUACUCAACAAGGAAGUGACGGCUAACUACGUG
This 466-nucleotide ribosomal RNA is filed under the name uncultured bacterium. RNAcentral describes it as "partial 16S ribosomal RNA". It matches the Rfam family "Bacterial small subunit ribosomal RNA", at positions 28 to 507 of the family's 1533-position model. The record is from RNAcentral.